UACGGAAGGUCCGGGCGUUAUCCGGAUUUAUUGGGUUUAAAGGGAGCGCAGGAGGGAGUUUAAGCGUGCCGUGAAAUGUACCGGCUCAACCGGUGAAGUGCGGCGCGAACUGGAUUUCUUGAGUGAGUACGACGUAAGCGGAAUUCGUGGUGUAGCGGUGAAAUGCUUAGAUAUCACGAAGAACCCCGAUUGCGAAGGCAGCUGACGAGUCCUUUACUGACGCUAAAGCUCGAAGGUGCGGGUAUCGAAC
Molecule: ribosomal RNA, 250 nt
Filed under: uncultured prokaryote
Description: partial 16S ribosomal RNA
Rfam family: Bacterial small subunit ribosomal RNA
Source: RNAcentral